GAUGAACGCUGGCGGCGUGCCUAAUACAUGCAAGUCGAGCGAACAGACGAGGAGCUUGCUCCUCUGACGUUAGCGGCGGACGGGUGAGUAACACGUGGAUAACCUACCUAUAAGACUGGGAUAACUUCGGGAAACCUGAGCUAAUACCGGAUAAUAUAUUGAACCGCAUGGUUCAAUAGUGAAAGACGGUUUUGCUGUCACUUAUAGAUGGAUCCGCGCCGCAUUAGCUAGUUGGUAAGGUAACGGCUUACCAAGGCAACGAUGCGUAGCCGACCUGAGAGGGUGAUCGGCCACACUGGAACUGAGACACGGUCCAGACGCCUACGGGAGGCAGCAGUAGGGAAUCUUACGCAAUGGGCGAAAGCCUGACGGAGCAACGCCGCGUGAGUGAUGAAGGUCUUCGGAUCGUAAAACUCUGUUAUUAGGGAAGAACAAAUGUGUAAGUAACUAUGCACGUCUUGACGGUACCUAAUCAGAAAGCAACGGCUAACUACGUG
This 497-nucleotide ribosomal RNA is filed under the name uncultured bacterium. RNAcentral describes it as "partial 16S ribosomal RNA". It matches the Rfam family "Bacterial small subunit ribosomal RNA", at positions 28 to 507 of the family's 1533-position model. The record is from RNAcentral.